AUGGUAAAGCAACAUCGCUGAAACAUGUUUAUCGAGGCAGUGCAUUGUUAGGUCCAUCCAAAGUUGUAUACAUGUAAAGUGCUUUCUGUUUGCAAAACAAAAGCUAAAUCUGAUUCAUAGAUUUCAUAGACUGGAGAAAUGAAUUAAGGGUCAAAAGCUUUGAUGCAAAGGUCAAAUCAUUGAGAGAAAGAAAGGAAACGGGAGGCUGACAUGGAAACAGAAAAUCAGUGAAGGAAGACGAAGCUCUUGAUACAAAGCUGCACACAGCAAAGCUCAACAAGACAGAGUACAAGUUGUGAGCUUCUCUGAAGGACUCAAAGAAAGAUAUACAAAGAACAUUGGAGAGAAGUACGGAGUUAUUUACUCGGAGGCUGAGAUAAUUACUAAAUGCAAAGAGCCUAUUAUAAACUAAGGGAGGAUGUCACCCCAGGUAUCAUUCCCUGAUUACCACUAUACGAAACCUGAUGCAUGCCAGAAGGCUGAGAGGACAACAAGGUGAAGCGGUGUGUCAGAUGAGAGGUAUGUUUCGUAUAGCCAUUGACAGAGUGGGUCGGAUCAGAAGUCAUAACCAGUUGCCGGAAUGUUUUGCAUUUACAUUACUUAAUUUCUUACAUCAUCAUUGAAUGAGAUAAGAAGUUAAACCUACCUGCUUUUUUCUUCUACAUUUUAAGUUUGUACUUUUUCUUGACGUACAAGCCAAAUUGGAAGAGUAGAAGUGGACGUUGUUAAUUCUUUGGUAGAAUCUCAGGUGUGUAUGUUUAGUUUGAAGGUUAGAUUCAGUUGCAUCUCUGUGCCAUAUUUUUGUCGUAGUUGGUGAAGUUGAAGUUCUUGGUGGAACAAUAUGAAGAAGCAGAUUAUGGAGGAGUCUGAGAAUUUGUGUUUCAUGAAGUCACUGAGACCUCCUCCUCCACAGCUUCCGCCAUCUCUGGGAUAUUGAUCAAGAAAGAUCGAGGGAGACAGCAUAACCAAUACACAGAUCAAGAAGUUCUGGACGCAGAAAAACAUCAUUGAAGAGGGGCAUCUCUUUGCUGCUGUUAAAGCUGCCGCUCGUGUCAGAGCCUGUAAUCUCUCUUUUUGUCCUUUUGGUUUCGAGGGAUUUUAGAUCAUUGAAGAGCAAAAUCAAUAUUUUUGAAGAGAAUUUUUAUAAUCUCAUGCUUCUCACUUUUAGAGAGACUCUUUAGAACAAACUAAUUACGAAGCUCGAUGAUCAUAUCUAUGGGUUUGGAGAUUCAAACUCUUAUAUA
This is a long non-coding RNA of Brassica napus (rape), 1244 nucleotides long. RefSeq lists it as uncharacterized. The record is from RefSeq and is a predicted model, not a curated record. The transcript is spliced from 3 exons. Lineage: Eukaryota; Viridiplantae; Streptophyta; Magnoliopsida; Brassicales; Brassicaceae.